RNAcentral lists this non-coding RNA (30 nucleotides) under Actinoplanes sp. SE50/110. The record is from RNAcentral. Lineage: Bacteria; Bacillati; Actinomycetota; Actinomycetes; Micromonosporales; Micromonosporaceae.
CGUCCGGGCCGGCUUUGCGGGCCACGUCGA